UGCAGUCGAACGGUGAAGCAGAGCUUGCUCUGUGGAUCAGUGGCGAACGGGUGAGUAACACGUGAGCAAUCUGCCCCUGACUCUGGGAUAAGCGCUGGAAACGGCGUCUAAUACCGGAUACGAGCUGCGACCGCAUGGUCAGUAGCUGGAAAGAAUUUCGGUCAGGGAUGAGCUCGCGGCCUAUCAGCUUGUUGGUGAGGUAAUGGCUCACCAAGGCGUCGACGGGUAGCCGGCCUGAGAGGGUGACCGGCCACACUGGGAACUGAGACACGGCCCAGACUCCUACGGGAGGCAGCAGUGGGGAAUAUUGCACAAUGGGCGCAAGCCUGAUGCAGCAACGCCGCGUGAGGGAUGACGGCCUUCGGGUUGUAAACCUCUUUUAGCAGGGAAGAAGCGAAAGUGACGGUACCUGCAGAAAAAGCGCCGGCUAACUACGUGCCAGCAGCCGCGGUAAUACGUAGGGCGCAAGCGUUAUCCGGAAUUAUUGGGCGUAAAGAGCUCGUAGGCGGUCUGUCGCGUCUGCUGUGAAAACCCGAGGCUCAACCUCGGGCCUGCAGUGGGUACGGGCAGACUAGAGUGCGGUAGGGGAGAUUGGAAUUCCUGGUGUAGCGGUGGAAUGCGCAGAUAUCAGGAGGAACACCGAUGGCGAAGGCAGAUCUCUGGGCCGUAACUGACGCUGAGGAGCGAAAGGGUGGGGAGCAAACAGGCUUAGAUACCCUGGUAGUCCACCCCGUAAACGUUGGGAACUAGUUGUGGGGUCCAUUCCACGGAUUCCGUGACGCAGCUAACGCAUUAAGUUCCCCGCCUGGGGAGUACGGCCGCAAGGCUAAAACUCAAAGGAAUUGACGGGGACCCGCACAAGCGGCGGAGCAUGCGGAUUAAUUCGAUGCAACGCGAAGAACCUUACCAAGGCUUGACAUAUAGAGGAAACGUCUGGAAACAGUCGCCCCGCAAGGUCUCUAUACAGGUGGUGCAUGGUUGUCGUCAGCUCGUGUCGUGAGAUGUUGGGUUAAGUCCCGCAACGAGCGCAACCCUCGUUCUAUGUUGCCAGCACGUAAUGGUGGGAACUCAUGGGAUACUGCCGGGGUCAACUCGGAGGAAGGUGGGGAUGACGUCAAAUCAUCAUGCCCCUUAUGUCUUGGGCUUCACGCAUGCUACAAUGGCCGGUACAAAGGGCUGCAAUACCGUGAGGUGGAGCGAAUCCCAAAAAGCCGGUCCCAGUUCGGAUUGAGGUCUGCAACUCGACCUCAUGAAGUCGGAGUCGCUAGUAAUCGCAGAUCAGCAACGCUGCGGUGAAUACGUUCCCGGGUCUUGUACACACCGCCCGUCAAGUCAUGAAAGUCGGUAACACCUGAAGCCGGUGGCCCAACCCUUGUGGAGGGAGCCGUCG
This 1390-nucleotide ribosomal RNA is filed under the name Microbacterium arborescens. RNAcentral's name for it is "bacterial SSU rRNA". It matches the Rfam family "Bacterial small subunit ribosomal RNA". Lineage: Bacteria; Bacillati; Actinomycetota; Actinomycetes; Micrococcales; Microbacteriaceae. The record is from RNAcentral.